UACGGGGGGGGCAAGCGUUGUUCGGAAUUACUGGGCGUAAAGGGCUCGUAGGCGGCCAACUAAGUCAGACGUGAAAUCCCUCGGCUUAACCGGGGAACUGCGCCUGAUACUGGUUGGCUUGAGUUUGGGAGAGGGACGCGGAAUUCCAGGUGUAGCGGUGAAAUGCGUAGAUAUCUGGAGGAACACCGGUGGCGAAGGCGGCGUCCUGGACCAAUACUGACACUGAGGAGCGAAAGCCAGGGGAGCAAACGGG
This 253-nucleotide ribosomal RNA is filed under the name uncultured bacterium. Its description in RNAcentral is "partial 16S ribosomal RNA". It matches the Rfam family "Bacterial small subunit ribosomal RNA", at positions 524 to 776 of the family's 1533-position model. The record is from RNAcentral.